RNAcentral lists this transfer RNA (81 nucleotides) under Rhodococcus coprophilus. RNAcentral's name for it is "tRNA-Tyr(gta)". The record is from RNAcentral. Lineage: Bacteria; Bacillati; Actinomycetota; Actinomycetes; Mycobacteriales; Nocardiaceae.
CCGCCGCGGGGUCCCGGCGCGGGUCGUCGGUGUAGACGACGAAGUCGGCGGGAGUUCCCGGUUCGAGACUGGGGUGACCGA